GACGAACGCUGGCGGCGUGCCUAAUACAUGCAAGUCGAGCGGACGGAUGGGAGCUUGCUCCCAGACCGCCAGCGGCGGACGGGUGAGUAACACGUGGGCAACCUGCCUGUAAGACUGGGAUAACUCCGGGAAACCGGGGCUAAUACCGGAUAACUCUUUCCCUCACAUGAGGGAAAGCUGAAAGAUGGCAUCUCGCUAUCACUUACAGAUGGGCCCGCGGCGCAUUAGCUAGUUGGUGAGGUAACGGCUCACCAAGGCGACGAUGCGUAGCCGACCUGAGAGGGUGAUCGGCCACACUGGGACUGAGACACGGCCCAGACUCCUACGGGAGGCAGCAGUAGGGAAUCUUCCGCAAUGGACGAAAGUCUGACGGAGCAACGCCGCGUGAGUGAUGAAGGUUUUCGGAUCGUAAAACUCUGUUGUCAGGGAAGAACAAGUACCGGAGUAACUGCCGGUACCUUGACGGUACCUGACCAGAAAGCCACGGCUAACUACGUG
This 498-nucleotide ribosomal RNA is filed under the name uncultured bacterium. RNAcentral describes it as "partial 16S ribosomal RNA". It matches the Rfam family "Bacterial small subunit ribosomal RNA", at positions 28 to 507 of the family's 1533-position model. The record is from RNAcentral.